GACGAACGCUGGCGGCGUGCUUAACACAUGCAAGUCGAACGGUGAAGCCCUUCGGGGUGGAUCAGUGGCGAACGGGUGAGUAACACGUGAGCAACCUGCCCCUGGCUCUGGGACAACCACUGGAAACGGUGGCUAAUACCGGAUACGACCCGCCUCGGCAUCGAGUGUGGGUGGAAAGUUUUUCGGCUGGGGAUGGGCUCGCGGCCUAUCAGCUUGUUGGUGAGGUGAAGGCUCACCAAGGCGACGACGGGUAGCCGGCCUGAGAGGGGGACCGGCCACACUGGGACUGAGACACGGCCCAGACUCCUACGGGAGGCAGCAGUGGGGAAUAUUGCACAAUGGGCGAAAGCCUGAUGCAGCGACGCCGCGUGAGGGAUGACGGCCUUCGGGUUGUAAACCUCUUUCAGCUCCGAAGAAGCGAAAGUGACGGUAGGAGCAGAAGAAGCACCGGCUAACUACGUG
RNAcentral lists this ribosomal RNA (462 nucleotides) under uncultured bacterium. Its description in RNAcentral is "partial 16S ribosomal RNA". It matches the Rfam family "Bacterial small subunit ribosomal RNA", at positions 28 to 507 of the family's 1533-position model. The record is from RNAcentral.